Molecule: non-coding RNA, 31 nt
Filed under: Homo sapiens (human)
Lineage: Eukaryota; Metazoa; Chordata; Mammalia; Primates; Hominidae
Source: RNAcentral
UCACCAUCAAGCUCAGCAUUCCGGUUUGCCU